ACCUGGCUGGCUCAAUCAGUGGAGCAUGGGACUCUUGAUCUCAGGGUUGUGGGUUUGAGCCUAUGUUGGCUA
This 72-nucleotide transfer RNA is filed under the name Canis lupus familiaris (dog). It matches the Rfam family "tRNA". From Rfam's summary of the family: Transfer RNA (tRNA) molecules are approximately 80 nucleotides in length. RNAcentral also lists the same sequence under 2 other names. The record is from Rfam by way of RNAcentral. Lineage: Eukaryota; Metazoa; Chordata; Mammalia; Carnivora; Canidae.